UUUACCUAAGAAGAUGCAGAAUCAUAAUUUAACACUUUUUAUGGGUAGUCAAGCCUCUAAAUGUCGGCUCUCAAAUCCGUUCACACGAACUUCAUAGUCAAUAUGAUUCAAUAUUUGAACCUUUCUUCUCUUGUAGAGCUUCUCCCUUGCGUCGACCAAGCAAGCUCAAAGGGGUUUAUGGUUCUUUUGUUUUCAUUAGGUAAUCGAAGAAACAAUUUCCUCAAUUUGCUAACUUAAGAAUGACAACUUCAAAUGUCUCUUGAGUGGCUUAGAAAAGGAAAAAGCUUUUGGCUAUGGAGGUUAAGAGAAAACUUGAGGAAGAAUAUGAGGAAUUUUGGUAGCUUUUAUGCUUUAG
This 355-nucleotide unclassified non-coding RNA is filed under the name Hevea brasiliensis (rubber tree). Lineage: Eukaryota; Viridiplantae; Streptophyta; Magnoliopsida; Malpighiales; Euphorbiaceae. The record is from RNAcentral.